CAAGUCGAGUGCGCGGUUGUAGCAAUACAACUGGCGCACGGCGCACGGGUGCGUAACACGUGGGUAACCUGCCCUUUGGUGGGGAAUAACUCCGCGAAAGCGGAGCUAAUUCCGCAUAAGAUCCGCAAGGAUGAAAGCCGCAAGGCGCUGAAGGAGGGGCCCGCGCCCGAUUAGCUAGUUGGUGAGGUAACGGCUCACCAAGGCUUUGAUCGGUAGCUGGUCUGAGAGGAUGAUCAGCCACACUGGAACUGAGACACGGUCCAGACUCCUACGGGAGGCAGCAGUGGGGAAUCUUGCACAAUGGGCGAAAGCCUGAUGCAGCGACGCCGCGUGGGGGAUGAAGCAUUUCGGUGUGUAAACCCCUUUCGAUCCGGACGAAACCCCGCAAGGGAUUGACGGUACGGAUAUAAGAAGCCCCGGCUAACUACGUGCCAGCAGCCGCGGUAAGACGUAGGGGGCCAGCGUUGUUCGGAAUUACUGGGUGUAAAGGGUUCGUAGGCGGUGUAGCAAGUCGGGAGUGAAAUCUCUGGGCUUAACCCAGAGGCUGCUUCCGAAACUGCUGUGCUUGAGUGUGGGAGAGGCGCGUGGAAUUGCAGGUGUAGCGGUGAAAUGCGUAGAUAUCUGCAGGAACACCCGUGGCGAAAGCGGCGCGCUGGACCACUACUGACGCUGAGGAACGAAAGCUAGGGGAGCAAACAGGAUUAGAUACCCUGGUAGUCCUAGCCCUAACGAUCAGGACUUGGGGUGCCACCCGUUCGGGUGUCGUCCCGGAGCUAACGCGUUAAGUCCUGCACCUGGG
RNAcentral lists this ribosomal RNA (799 nucleotides) under uncultured Pseudomonadota bacterium. Its description in RNAcentral is "bacterial SSU rRNA". It matches the Rfam family "Bacterial small subunit ribosomal RNA", at positions 58 to 877 of the family's 1533-position model. The record is from RNAcentral. Lineage: Bacteria; Pseudomonadati; Pseudomonadota.